GUUGAAGAAGCAAGUCGCUCAGAACCAACAUGAUAAUUCUGAUUUGAAGAGCGAGCUUGCGAGUGCCGAAGAAGAAGUGCUGGCCUUGAAGGACAACAACACCGCACUUGCUGAUAGAGCUGUUGGGUUGGAUAUGGAUGUACGCAACCAAUCCGACCAGCUUCAGGAGCUCAUCUUCUUCGGACCAACAGUAUUCCCUGCUCUACCUCCGAACUACAUCACGGAUAUUAUGGAGUGGGUAGAGCAGCACCCUGAGGAGCUCGAGAAGAACAAGGAAGCUCU
Molecule: long non-coding RNA, 282 nt
Filed under: Zostera marina
Lineage: Eukaryota; Viridiplantae; Streptophyta; Magnoliopsida; Alismatales; Zosteraceae
Description: long non-coding RNA (ZMAR_LNC002033)
Source: RNAcentral